Long non-coding RNA from Pristis pectinata (smalltooth sawfish), 374 nucleotides. RefSeq lists it as uncharacterized. NCBI's taxonomy places the organism in Eukaryota, Metazoa, Chordata, Chondrichthyes, Rhinopristiformes, Pristidae. The record is from RefSeq and is a predicted model, not a curated record. The transcript has 3 exons.
AUUGAUUUAGUUGUACAGUAACUAUUCUUCAGCAUUAAUUGUAGAUGAGAUGAUGAUGAGGAAAAGAUCAAGUCAGAUGACCAAAUUUUUUGGAUGGUUCCAGAACAAGACAUAGUGGAUUCUUUUGAUGUACACUUGCAAGAGGUUGGUUACAAUAAUGGAACAGCUACCCCACAGCAAGUAGGUGUGGUGUUUUCUGGAAUAAAUGCCUCUUCUUUUGAGACUAUGUUGAAAGACAAUGCUGAGGUUAUCUUCAGAGUCCGUGCAGUUAAUGCUAAUGGAGAAAGUAACUGGAGCUAUCCUUACAGAGUUAUUCUUAAAGAGCAUUAAGUUGGAAGAGGAGAAGUCUAUUAUCAAUUUCCCAUGAAGAUCAC